Molecule: ribosomal RNA, 253 nt
Filed under: uncultured bacterium
Lineage: Bacteria
Description: partial 16S ribosomal RNA
Rfam family: Bacterial small subunit ribosomal RNA
Source: RNAcentral
UACAGAGGUCCCAAGCGUUGUUCGGAUUCACUGGGCGUAAAGGGUGCGCAGGUGGUCGGGUAAGUCUGAUGUGAAAUCCCGCAGCUUAACUGCGGAAUGGCAUUGGAUACUAUUUGGCUAGAGGGUUGGAGGGGGGACUGGAAUUCCCGGUGUAGUGGUGAAAUGCGUAGAUAUCGGGAGGAACACCAGUGGCGAAGGCGACUUCCUGGCCUGUUCUUGACGCUGAGGCGCGAAAGCUAGGGGAGCAAACGGG